AGCGAACGCUGGCGGCAGGCCUAAUACAUGCAAGUCGAGCGGUAGAGAGGUGCUUGCAUCUCUUUGAGAGCGGCGGACGGGUGAGUAAUGCCUAGGAAUCUGCCUAGUGGUGGGGGGAUAACGUUCGGAAACGGACGCUAAUACCGCAUACGUCCUACGGGAGAAAGCGGGGGAUCUUCGGACCUCGCGCCAUUAGAUGAGCCUAGGUCGGAUUAGCUAGUUGGUGAGGUAAUGGCUCACCAAGGCGACGAUCCGUAACUGGUCUGAGAGGAUGAUCAGUCACACUGGAACUGAGACACGGUCCAGACUCCUACGGGAGGCAGCAGUGGGAAUUUUGGACAAUGGGCGCAAGCCUGAUCCAGCAAUGCCGCGUGCAGGAUGAAGGCCUU
Molecule: ribosomal RNA, 389 nt
Filed under: uncultured bacterium
Lineage: Bacteria
Description: bacterial SSU rRNA
Rfam family: Bacterial small subunit ribosomal RNA
Source: RNAcentral